CCUCUCGUAGCAGCCUACUACCACUGUGCUUGCUAGUACAACUGUAGAUUGUACACAAUGUGCAGAGACGAAACGGGUAAAGUAGGGUGCACGCAGCACAUUUCGGGGAAGUACUAUGUACCACUUCUGCACUACUACCGUUAUUGUACGCCUCCAUAGGCUCUGCUCCAUGUGCCAGUUCUGCACUUUGGAGUACUACUUUGAAGAGUCGACGAGGAGAGCAACAUGAUCAUUCUUCACGUGCAAUUGCGUCAGGUGAGCUAUAUUGGCUUGGCUUGAAAGAUUCAUGGGACAUAUGUUUUUACUUUUUCGGAUCUAUCAUUCAUCUUCAAUGUUCUUGAGGCCUGCGGAUAUGCUCAUGGCUGUCCGAUAUAAUACGUCGGUUGUCGGUGUGCAUUCUCCUAGCAGCGAAGGCGCUCGAGUGCCCGACCGGGUGUGUUGUGGGGUUUCGUCUUCCGGUGCCUUGUAUGUCUUGUGGUGCUCUAGGUCUAGUCUAGUUAGACGUUGCUAUGGUUUUUGUCCGGUUUUCCUCAAAACUGAACAGUCCGUUCUUGUAAUACCUUCUUCUGAUUAAUGAAUUUGGCAGCUCUCCUGUCGAUAUAAAAAAACUUUGAAGAGCGCCGCAAAUUCGACAAAUUUGAUCCCAGGACGAAUUUUUUCACAAACUGGACUGUAUUUUAAAAAAUUACUCAGCUGACUGUUUUGUGUGGCACCCUACAGUAAGGCGCCACACUAUACUGUGUGACGCCUUAGACAAGGGCGCUACAUCCCCGGCCACGCUGGCGUCCGACCCCACCCCGAGCAGUGUGGCGCCUUAGACGUAGGCGUUGCACUUCCGAUGUGUGGCGUCGAACGCUUAGGCGUCGAACGCUCACAUAUCCACCCGCUGGGCGGCCCUCCCCCACCCCCCUCCUCAUUCAUCUCCAUCGACCAAAACAGAGAGAGGUCUCCCUCGAGUUCCUCUCUCCCCUUCCUGAAACCCCUCUUCAAAUCAAGCAUAUCUGAAGGUUUGGUCCGGGCAUUUCGACCCCAAUCCCUCCCUUAAGGUAAUCUCCCCGGUCCUCUCAUCCAAUAAAAAUCUCAUUUGCUCACUUUUUUGCAAAUGCAAGCAAACCCUAGUACUUCAUGAAAUUUGGGAUGUGUAUGAUUUUGUUGCACUUGUUUGUAUGUUAGGGUAAGGGGUAUGAUUGGGUUAUGAUUAGGGUUGUUUGGAUUUAGGAUUGUUGGGGAACGUAGUAAUUUCAAAAAUUUCCUACGCCAAACAAAGAUCUAUCUAUGGAGAAACCAGCAACGAGUGAUGGGGUAGAGCAUCUUCAUACCUUUGAAGAUCGCUAAGCGGAAGCGUUACUAGAACGCGGUUGAUGGAGUCGUACUCGCAGCAAUUCAGAUCGCGGUCGGUUCCGAUCUAUGUGCCGAAUCACGGCACCUCCGCGUUCAACACACGUACAGCCCAGUGACGUCUCCCGCACCUUGAUCCAGCAAGAAGGAGGGAGGGGUCCGGCAGCACGACGGCGUGGUAGCGGUGGAGCUACGAGGUAUUCCGACAGGGCUUCGCCAAGCAUCGCGGAAGAGGAGGAGCAGGGCUACGCCGAGAGUCUCAAAUCAGCCAAAAGCUCCACUAUAUAUAGGAGGAGAGGGAGGGGGCGCCCCCUUUAGGCCUUGUUCGGUUCCUUUAUAUUUGAAGGGGUUUGGAGGGGAUUGAGAGGGAUUAAAUCCCCUACAAGUCAAAUUCCACCUAAAUCCCCUCCAAUCCUCUUCAAUCCCCUCCUGGUAGGGAUUAACCGAACAAGGCCUUAGGGUUCCCACCCCAAAAGGGUGCGGCAGCCCCAUCUAGGGCUGGUGGUAGCGGCCAGGGCAAGGGAGAGGGGGGUGGCGCACCGCAGAUGGGCCUUAAGCCCAUCUGCGCUAGGGUUUCCCCCUUCCCUCUCUUGCUGCGCCUUGGGCCUAGGUGGGAGGCGCACCAGACCACUCUGGGCUGGUUCCCUUCCACCUUUUUGGCCCAUGCUAGCCUUUGGGGCUGGUGGCCCCUCCCGAUGGACCCCCGAAACCCUUCCGGUGGUCCCGGUACGUUACCGGUGACGCCCGAAACAUUUCCGUGUCCAAAACCCCUCAUCCUAUAUAUCAAUCUUUACCUCCGGACCAUUCCGGAGCUCCUCGUGACGUCCGGGAUUUCAUCCGGGACUCAAAACAACCUUCGGUAACCACAUACACUAUUUUGCUAUAACUCUAGCGUCAUCGAACCUUAAGUGUGUAGACCCUACGGGUUCGGGAGACGUGCAGACAUGACCGAGACAUCUCUCCGGCCAAUAACCAACAGCGGGGUCUGGAUAUCCAUGUUGGUUCCCACAUGUCCCACGACAAUCUCAUCGGAUGAACCACGAUGUCAAGGAUUCAAUCAAUCUCGUAUGCAAUUCCCUUUGUCCAUCGGUAUGAUACUUGCAUGAGAUUCGAUCGUUGGUAUCCCUAUACCUUGUUCAAUCUCGUUACCGACAAGUCUCUUUACUCGUUCCGUAACACAUCAUCCCGUAGCUAACCCCUUAGUCACAUUGAGCUCAAUAUGAUGAUGGAUUACCGAGUGGGACCAGAGAUACCUCUUCGUCACACGGAGUGACAAAUCCCGGUCUCGAUUCGUACAACUCAACAGACACUUUCGGAGAUACCCGUAGUGCACCUUUAUAAUCACCCAGUCACGUUGUGACGUUUGGUACCCCCAAAGCACUCCUACGGUAUCCAGGAGUUGCACAAUCUCACGGUCUAAGGAAAUGAUACUUGACAUUAGAAAAGCUUUAGUAGACGAACAACACGAUCUAGUGCUAUGCUUAGGAUUGGGUCUUGUCCAUCACAUCAUUCCCCAAUGACGUGAUCCCGUUAUCAAUGACAUCCAAUGUCCAUGAUCAAGAAACCAUGAUCAUCUAUUGAUCAACGAGCUAGCCAACUAGAGGCUCACUAGGGACACAUUAUGAUCUACAUAUUCACACUUGUAUGCCGAGUUGUUGGAACAAAAAGGAUUUGAAUUGGAUGGAACCAAGUGAUGUUGUUGAGUUUUAUGGUAGGCAUAAUGUGAGAUUUGGAAUGCACCUUCGUUGGAAGACCAUGCGUGUUAACUUGGAGCAACAUUGUCUUGCAUACAAGGAGACGGUGUCCGAGUCACUAGACAAGGCGCUAGAGUUAUUUGCCAUAAAAAACUUGAUCCUAACUUGCACUUGUAUUUGAACCGGGUUGCCUCUCCGGUUGUUGAUGCUAGUCCCCCACGGACCAACGAAGAGGCCAACAUUAAACCUCUUUUGACCCAACAAUCGAGGACAACAUUGACCCAGAAUUCGAAGAUCCAACAUGAACUAUUGGUAGAGGAGAAUAAUGAGCAUGAUGAUGAUGAGAAUGAUGAUCUUGUUCUCCAUGACAAUAGCCUUGGUGAUUUGGAUAAAUAUUAUUUGCAAGAGACAAUGGACCAUUCCAUGACAAUGAGGAUCUUAGUCUUGCGGAUGAAGCCGUGGUUGAUGGAGGCGAAGGCAUAUUCUUUGGAGUUAGGCUAACUUCUCACCGGGACAAACAUGGGUAGAAUAUUAUUUUGCCCGAGUCAAAGUUCGAAAGAUUCCUGGAACUAAAGAUGUGGUUAGAUGACUAUUCGGUUAUGCAUUAUCGUCCACACAAAGUUGUUCAUUUGAACAUGAAGGUGGGUUACAAGGUUGCAUGUGAGGAUUUAGUAUGUCCAUGGAUUGUCCAUGCAAGACUAUGGAAUGGAGGGCCCGAAUGGAACAUUGUGAGUUGUAUGCCUCACCUGUGCCGAGACAAGAUGUUUGAUGGCGAGCUUUUGUCCCAAAACCAUAGACAACUCACCUCCGAGUUCAUCGCUUACAGGCUUUCGAACUCCAUCUCCUCGCUUCCUACAAUGAGCAUAAAAAGCAUACAAGACCUUGUGAAAGGCCUCUUUCACUACCAGGUGAAAUACGGGAAGGCAUGGAAAGCAAAGCAAUCCACAUUCAAGAUGUUGUAUGGUGAUUGGGAGGAAGCAUACAACCGACUACCUAGGUUGUUGGGAGCUAUUGCUGCUACUAACCCGUGCAUGGUUCAUGUGGUUGAACUGUACGGGGAGAAACAAGGAUUCACAAUGGAAAGAUGAUCCGUGUCUUUGGCCGUGCAUUUUGGGCAUUUGAGCAAUGUGUGAGAGCUUUUCAGCACUGUGAGCCAAUCAUCUCCAUCGAUGGCACGUUCUAUAUCGGACAGUUCAAGGGCACUCUAUUCGUUGCAACAGGAAAUGAUGCCAAUAACCGGUUGUUGCCUUUGGCUUUUGCUUUGGUUGAGGUGGAGAACAAUGUUAACUCGGAAUGGUGAUACGUCCCAAACAUAUAUAUAAUUUCUGCUUGCUCCAUGAUCUUUUGGGUGACAUUGUUAUAUGUUUUCCUACACUUUUAUACUCCCUCUGUCCCAAAAUAAGUGUCUUAACUUUGUACUAGCUCUAGUAUAAAAUUGUACUAAGCUUGAGACAGUUAUUUUGGGACGGAGGGAGUAUAUUUUUACACAUAUUUGGACUAACCUACUAACUCAGUGCGCCCAGUGCCAGUUUCUGUCUACUGAUGUCUUUUUGCAAAGCUUUUACCCAAAUUUCCAGAGCCCCAAAAAUCCCGAGAAAAAUAUAUAAAAUCAGCGUAACGGAAGCUCCAGAUCACCGAAGAUGGGCCAAAGGGGAGCCAGGGGCUGCCGAGGCGGCCACCCUGCGCGGCCUGGCCCCUGGCCACGCUCAAAGGCCGCCUGGGUGGGCCCCACCUCCUCUGACGCCCUCCUUUGGCCUAUUUUUACCCCUCUGAUCGAAAUCCUUCCAUCAUAUCAAGAAUCGCGAAUUUCUCCAUCGUUCCGCCACCGCAGCGCUUCCGAGAUUGGGAGUGUCACGAGACCUCUUCCCGACACCCUACCGGAGGGAGGAUUGACCUCCGGGGGCUUCUCCACCGCCAUGGACGCUUCCCGGACGUGCCGUGAGUAGUCCUCCUUGGAUCAUGAAUCCAUGACCAGUAGUUAUGUGAUGUCUUCUCUCCAAUCUUGUGCUUCAAUGAUUAGCCCUUGUGAGCUGCCCUACAUGAUCAAGGCAUCUAUGUAAUUUUCCUAGUGUUGCUAUGCUCGGUUUGUUGGGAUCCGAUGGAUUAUGAGAUUAUGUUCAGAUUAUUAUGAGUUAUAUAUUUGAUCAUCCUUUUAUAUUAUGUUCUUUAGUGGUUCAUGCAUGUUCUUCGUUGCUCUUUAUUGCUUUGGCCGAGUAGUAGAUUGUAACUCCAAGAGGGAGCGUUAUGCAUGAUAGUGGGUUCAUGCCCCCUGAUGUCUAGCUUGAGUGACAGAAACAUGAUACUAGGGGAUGUGUUGUUGCCACCAGGGAGAAAACAACGGUGCUUGUGACCACAGUUGCAAGGAUUGUUUACCUUACACAUAAUUCAUUAAUGCAAUUGUUCGUUGCUUUGAGUUUACACUUUGGGUGGGGCUCGCAACUUAAUACCAGCGAUAUGUUCUUGAUAUAUAUAUCUCAAGGUGGAUGAUUAAUAAGUAGAUGUUGAUGAAUAAACGGUCUACUUGUCUUGGCGUACUUCCCAUUAGUAUUGAGCCUCUAACUUUCAAGUAGCAUAAUUAGCAUUGCGGUGCGUUCAUAAUUCUGUCAAUUGCCCAGCUGUAAUUGUUUUUACCCAAGCAUAGUUGUGUAUCGUCUUUUGGGAGAGAGACAUCACUAGUGAACAUCAUGUGACUCAGGUCCAUAUCACCACCAUUGCUUACACCUCCAUCAUUUACUGCUUUAUUUACUUUUCCGUUGCAAUCACUAUCACUAUUCCCGCUUGUGUUUUGAUCCUUUGCAAACUACAAGGCCGAAGAGAUUGACAACCUAUGUGUACUCGUUGGGAGCAAUGUUAUUUGCUGUGUGUGCAGGUCCACGUCUUCUGCUAGCGCGAGAGCAACGGACACCUACUUGUUGAUCCUCGGAGUCCUCCUGGUUUGAUAAACCUGACAGUCUUCGUGUAAGGGAGACUUGCUGCUAACUACAUCUCCACCUUCCACUUGGGGUAACCAACAAGGGACGAGACGUAUAUUCAUCAACUCGUCAUCAAAUGGUUCUUGCUUCUUUUGAGAACCAAGGUAUUACCGUCUGAAAGGGAAAUUUGUGUCAUAUCGGAUCCCCAUCCAGGAAUACUUAACGCGGUUGAAAUUGUUAUUCUCGGGCAUGCUCAUUUGCACCAUCGAUGGUGCAUGAGGCAUUUCUGUUCAAACUUCUACCGGGCAUGUGGUAGCAAGGAGUUGACGGAUGAUCUUCAAGAUUGUUGUCAAGCUUUUUCCGACAAACGAUUUGCAAGAUUGUACAACGCUUUAGUUGCAAACAAAAUCUUGAUGCAAGGGGUCUUAAGUUUCUCAACACGCACAUUCAACUUAGGCAAAAGUGGGCACGAGCUUAUGAUGAAGAUGGCCAAAGAUACGGUCAAAUGAAAAGAAACAUGGCAGAAUGCUUCAUCCGGGUGCUCAAGGGUGUUCGUGCGCUUCCGGUGACAACAAUAGUUCAAUACACAUUCAACAAGUUGAGAGCAUACUUUCUAAAGUACUCAACUAAGAUGGAUGAUCACAUUGCGGGAGAGAACAAGAAAAAGUACAAGUACAAGUUCCCAUAAAAGGUUAACAAAUAGAUGGAAUUUCAAUCAUGGAAGGCCGACUCCCAAACAGCUACGUUGUACAAUAACGAGGGUUGGACGUACCAAGUGCAUAUGCCUGGAGGAACGACAAACGAUGGCUAGCAACACGGAAACAUGGCGUUCAAGGUAUCUUUAUCGUUGUGGGAUUGCUCAUGCGGGGGGCAUAUGUUGAUUAAUCUCGCAUGCUCGGACUUGUACACGACAACUCGCACUAGGAACAUGGACGUCAACCAUCCGCUAACCGUGAGAGAGUCCGAGUUCUCUAUCGUGACCAUGAAGCAUACAUGGGCUCCUAGAUUUGAAGCAUACUUUGACCAAUCACAUUGACCGAAGUAUCAUGGCUUCAACUAUGGCCCGACCCGGAGUGGAAGGUGGUCAAAUGGGGAAGACGAAAGACAAAGCGUUUUAGAGGAGACAUCGAUGGAUGGGGGCAUGGUGGUGGCCGAGAAAUGGGGAACAACCAAUUCCAAGAGCCUAGCGAGAGAUCACAUUGUGGAGAGUGUGGUGGAAGAGGGCACAACACAAUAAGGUGUACCAAUCCUAAGAAGAAGUCCAAAAAAUAUAAUUCAAGGUCACGCCAACCAAGUAGUAGUCAACAAGGUCCUAGCCAAGCAAAUAGUAGCCAACAUGUUCCUAGCCAACAAGUUCCUAGCCAGCAUGUUCCUAGCCGACCUGGACUUACUAGAGGACGUGCUCAUGGAUAGUGCAUUGUAGUGCUAGAGGUAGGGGCGACAGAGCUGUUGGACUUAGUAGGAUUGGUAUGCAUGGAUACCUACGAGGACCAUUUCCGUAUGUCACGCUAUUGACUUAUCUUUUUCAUGUUGUUUCUAAUGCUCCCUUCUAUGUUAACCAUGUACUAUCGUUGCUUUACUAACUAUUAUGUUGCUAUUUUUUCGUAGGUAUGGCGGUGUCUCAACCCAACAAGGCAACAACGGAGUGGGUGGAGGACAAGGAUGUAGUCGGUGAGGAGCAGUGGUUGUGGGAGAGGGCUGCAAAGAAGUUGAGAGAGGAGGAUGCAACCAAAGCGGAGAGGAAGAAGGAAGUGUUGGGGAACGUCGCAUGGGAAACAAAAAAUUUCCUACGCGCACGAAGACCUAUCAUGGUGAUGUCCAUCUACGAGAGGGGAUAUUCGAUCUACGUACCCUUGUAGAUCGCACAGCAGAAGCGUUAAGAAACGCGGUUGAUGUAGUGGAACGUCCUCACGUCCCUCGAUCCGCCCCGCGAACCGUCCCGCGAUCAGUCCCACGAUCUAGUGCCGAACAGACGGCACCUCCGCGUUCAGCACACGUACAGCUCGACGAUGAUCUCGGCCUUCUUGAUCCAGCAAGAGGGACGGAGAGGUAGAUGAGUUCUCCGGCAGCGCGAUGGUGCUCCGGAGGUUGGUGGUGAUCUUAUCUCAGCAGGGCUCCGCCCGAGCUCCACAGAAACGCGAUUUAGAGGUAAAACCGUGGAGAUAUGUGGUCGGGCUGCCGUGGCAAAAGUUGUCUCAAAU
This 8145-nucleotide long non-coding RNA is filed under the name Hordeum vulgare. RNAcentral describes it as "long non-coding RNA (HVUL_LNC019921)". Lineage: Eukaryota; Viridiplantae; Streptophyta; Magnoliopsida; Poales; Poaceae. The record is from RNAcentral.